This 351-nucleotide long non-coding RNA is filed under the name Triticum aestivum (bread wheat). RNAcentral describes it as "long non-coding RNA (TAES_LNC000198)". Lineage: Eukaryota; Viridiplantae; Streptophyta; Magnoliopsida; Poales; Poaceae. The record is from RNAcentral.
UCUUCUGUUUUUUAGAUUUAGUUUAAUUAGGUUUAGUAUUAUUUAGUUUAGGUUUUGUUUAGUUUAGUUAGUUUACUUUACGUUUAGUUCAGGUCAAAUUUCUGGUUUAGUUUAGGUUUAGUUUAGUUAGUUUAGUUUAGGUUUAGUUUAGUUAGUUUAGUUUAGGUUUAGUUUAGUUAGUUUAGUUUAGUUUACUUUAGGUUAAGUUUUUGGUUUAUUUUGAACAUGUGAAAUUUGUUGUUAUUUUUUUAGUUCAAGCAUUUAUUCCCGCUUCGACGUCGAUGAUGCCUAUCCCGCAUCCUCGUCGUCGACUCGGCGGAGGAGGCCUGCUUGAUCAGAGGGGCCAUGUCC